RNAcentral lists this transfer RNA (76 nucleotides) under Candidatus Ryanbacteria bacterium RIFCSPHIGHO2_02_FULL_47_25. RNAcentral describes it as "tRNA-Val". It matches the Rfam family "tRNA". Rfam says of the family: Transfer RNA (tRNA) molecules are approximately 80 nucleotides in length. RNAcentral also lists the same sequence under 3 other names. Lineage: Bacteria; Candidatus Ryaniibacteriota. The record is from RNAcentral.
GGACGGUUAGCUCAGUUGGUAGAGCGGCUCGUUUACACCGAGUAGGUCGCAGGUUCGAGUCCUGCACCGUCCACCA